Vicia villosa (hairy vetch) is the source of this 359-nucleotide long non-coding RNA. RefSeq lists it as uncharacterized. NCBI's taxonomy places the organism in Eukaryota, Viridiplantae, Streptophyta, Magnoliopsida, Fabales, Fabaceae. The transcript has 3 exons. The record is from RefSeq and is a predicted model, not a curated record.
GUUAAGAUCCAGAAAGAUACUGAAGUGAGACUAAAGAUAAUCGGACAACGCGACUCAGAGUUGGUCGUGCCCUCUAUCACGAACUCAACACAUGUAGAGUUCUAUUUGAUGAAUUGUGGCUGAGUGUGGAAAGCUUCCACUAGGUCGUAAAGUGGUCGGAGCUUCAUUUGCAAAUUCAAAGUAUUGGCUAAGCGAUAAAACAAGGAUUCCUCAAGGCUUAAGCCUCGGCUGAAAAAUGUAAUUGGAGAUGCUCAAUGCAGAAGGUUACCUCAGCCCCAGUUUUGACAUCACUAAUUUUCAUAAAGAGUUCAUUAUAGAAAUUGAUGCCUCUAGGAACAUGCUGGGAGCAAUAUUGAUCA